UAAUUGCAUGACAGUUUGACUGGUUCGUUGAGAGUGAGGAACCUAUGGACUCUCACACACCAAGAUGGAAUUUAGUUCGAAGAGUGACUUCAAAAUGUUCCGCAAGUUUUAGCGUAAACUGGUGGAGACUUUCGGUGCUUGCAAAAAGGCUCACCUCUCCGUUAAUACCGAAGGAAAAUGGGAGUUUAAAAAUGGUUGGAUAUUGGAUUCAUUUUAAAUGAGGAACCAUACGAUUAGACUGUUUUGAUGAGGAAUUUAAAGAUUACGAGUCGUGUCCGUUUGACUCACAGUUUGGUACCAUAGGUUGGUACGAUGUUCGUUGGAGAAGGA
Molecule: long non-coding RNA, 330 nt
Organism: Stegostoma tigrinum
Lineage: Eukaryota; Metazoa; Chordata; Chondrichthyes; Orectolobiformes; Stegostomatidae
Exons: 4
Source: RefSeq, a predicted model, not a curated record